CUAAGGCUGUAUUGGAUCAUGGAAAGAAGAAUUUCAGGGGACAAAGGAGGAGGAAAGCAAAAGUUUUUUCUUAUUUCCGUUCAAUCUGAUUUUUUACCCCUUGCAUAGAAUCACGUAACACUUGUCAAGCGCCAAGACUUCUGCUUACUUGCGCUGUGUAACAUACUAUGUUUUUUGGUGGAACAAUAGGGGAGCAAGAGGAAAAACAAGUCAAUGGCAAAUAGUCAAACACAUUGUUGCCGAGCAAAAGCAUGUUAUACCAGUGAUGGGUGAAUUUGCCACAAUGUAUCGGUCUAAACAGGUGAAUUUGGAGGCAAGAGUUGGAUUGAGCUCUAGUGUUGGGAUAGGUUUAAUUGAGGAAGCAAAACACUUAUUAGUAGAAUUCAUUCUUUUCGGCCGACCGAGAAAUAAAUCAAAUCGGUGAGAGAACUGCUCAAUAUAGUAGUAAAUUGAAGCAAGUUUGUUUUGCACAAUUAACUCAAAAUAUUCAGUCUUUAAUAUGUUGUUCUCCAAUUUUUUUUAUUAAAUCGCACUCUUUUUACCUCUCUUAACAUGGGAAACAUCCUCUAUUCUUAAGAAUUUGGAAAAAAUUUAGAUACUAGAAUAC
This is a long non-coding RNA of Rhododendron vialii, 607 nucleotides long. RefSeq lists it as uncharacterized. The transcript has 2 exons. NCBI's taxonomy places the organism in Eukaryota, Viridiplantae, Streptophyta, Magnoliopsida, Ericales, Ericaceae. The record is from RefSeq and is a predicted model, not a curated record.